This 65-nucleotide transfer RNA is filed under the name Daphnia pulex (common water flea). It matches the Rfam family "tRNA", at positions 18 to 71 of the family's 71-position model. From Rfam's summary of the family: Transfer RNA (tRNA) molecules are approximately 80 nucleotides in length. Their secondary structure includes four short double-helical elements and three loops (D, anti-codon, and T loops). Further hydrogen bonds mediate the characteristic L-shaped molecular structure. tRNAs have two regions of fundamental functional importance: the anti-codon, which is responsible for specific mRNA codon recognition, and the 3' end, to which the tRNAs corresponding amino acid is attached (by aminoacyl-tRNA synthetases). tRNAs cope with the degeneracy of the genetic code in two manners: having more than one tRNA (with a specific anti-codon) for a particular amino acid; and 'wobble' base-pairing, i.e. permitting non-standard base-pairing at the 3rd anti-codon position. The record is from Rfam by way of RNAcentral. Lineage: Eukaryota; Metazoa; Arthropoda; Branchiopoda; Diplostraca; Daphniidae.
GUCCAAGGCGCUGGUUUAAGGCACCAGUCUCUUCGGGGGCAUGGGUUCGAAUCCCAUCGCUGUCA